GACGAACGCUGGCGGCGUGCUUAACACAUGCAAGUCGAGCGGUAAGGCCCUUUCGGGGGUACACGAGCGGCGAACGGGUGAGUAACACGUGGGUGACCUGCCCUCAGCUCUGGGAUAAGCCUGGGAAACCGGGUCUAAUACCGGAUAUGACCUCAUGACGCAUGUUGUGGGGUGGAAAGCCUUGUGCGGCUGAGGAUGGGCCCGCGGCCUAUCAGCUUGUUGGUGGGGUGAGGCCUACCAAGGCGACGACGGGUAGCCGGCCUGAGAGGGCGACCGGCCACACUGGGACUGAGACACGGCCCAGACUCCUACGGGAGGCAGCAGUGGGGAAUCUUGCGCAAUGGGUGAAAGCCUGACGCAGCGACGCCGCGUGAGGGAUGACGGCCU
This 387-nucleotide ribosomal RNA is filed under the name uncultured bacterium. Its description in RNAcentral is "bacterial SSU rRNA". It matches the Rfam family "Bacterial small subunit ribosomal RNA", at positions 28 to 417 of the family's 1533-position model. The record is from RNAcentral.